AGCAGUCGCCACGGGAAUACGGAGGGUGCAAGCGUUAAUCGGAAUUACUGGGCGUAAAGCGCACGCAGGCGGUUUGUUAAGUCAGAUGUGAAAUCCCCGAGCUUAACUUGGGAACUGCAUUUGAAACUGGCAAGCUAGAGUCUUGUAGAGGGGGGUAGAAUUCCAGGUGUAGCGGUGAAAUGCGUAGAGAUCUGGAGGAAUACCGGUGGCGAAGGCGGCCCCCUGGACAAAGACUGACGCUCAGGUGCGAAAGCGUGGGGAGCAAACAGGAUUAGAUACCCGAGUAGUCCCUGUCUCUUAUAC
This 303-nucleotide ribosomal RNA is filed under the name uncultured bacterium. RNAcentral describes it as "partial 16S ribosomal RNA". It matches the Rfam family "Bacterial small subunit ribosomal RNA", at positions 507 to 807 of the family's 1533-position model. The record is from RNAcentral.